CAGCCGCCGCGGUAAUACGGAGGGUGCAAGCGUUAAUCGGAAUUACUGGGCGUAAAGCGCACGCAGGCGGUCUGACAAGUCAGAUGUGAAAUCCCCGGGCUUAACCUGGGAACUGCAUUUGAAACUGUCAGGCUGGAGUCUUGUAGAGGGGGGUGGAAUUCCAGGUGUAGCGGUGAAAUGCGUAGAGAUCUGGAGGAAUACCGGUGGCGAAGGCGGCCCCCUGGACAAAGACUGACGCUCAGGUGCGAAAGCGUGGGGAGCAAACAGGAUUAGAUACCCCGGUAGUCCCUGUCUCUUAUAC
Molecule: ribosomal RNA, 301 nt
Filed under: uncultured bacterium
Lineage: Bacteria
Description: partial 16S ribosomal RNA
Rfam family: Bacterial small subunit ribosomal RNA
Source: RNAcentral